UAGGAAGCCGAAAGGUGACGACCUUCGGGAGCUUGCACAGGUGCUGCAUGGCUGUCGUCAGCUCGUGUCGUGAGAUGUUCGGUUAAGUCCGCUAACGAGCGCAACCCUCGCUGUCGUGUUAUAUGUGUCACACGGGACUGCCGGUCUUAAGCCGGAGGAAGGUGGGAUGAUGUCAAGUCAGCAUGGCCUUUAUAUCCUGGGCUACACACACGCUACAAUGGCCAACACAAUAGGUUGCUAAGCCGCGAGGUGGCGCCAAUCCAAUAAAGUUGGUCUCAGUUCAGAUUGUAGGCUGCAACCCGCCUGCAUGAAGAUGGAGUUGCUAGUAACCGCAGGUCAGCUAUACUGCGGUGAAUACGUUCCCGGGGCUU
Molecule: ribosomal RNA, 371 nt
Filed under: uncultured Leptolinea sp.
Lineage: Bacteria; Bacillati; Chloroflexota; Anaerolineae; Anaerolineales; Anaerolineaceae
Description: bacterial SSU rRNA
Rfam family: Bacterial small subunit ribosomal RNA
Source: RNAcentral